GGGAGUUGGUAGAAUAUAGAAAGGAUUAUCCAGGUGUAGCAAACAUAUUGAUUAGGACCAAGCUGCUUCAGUACUCAAGGGUCAACAAAUCUUCUGUUGGUUUUUGUUCUAAUUAUCUUUUCUCAGGCCUUCUGCUUCAUGCCCUGUGAACCUGAUACUACUGAUUCAUUUUAAUGUAAUGUUCCCAUGGAAACAUGCUGUUGCCUUUCUGUUUCCUUAGUAAAUGCUUGCAUGGUGAGUGUCCCAAGCAUUGGACUAUAAAGAUCUGCGGUAUUUUUAGAUGCUGAACUCACAUUUCAGUGAACAUGGCGUAUCUCUGUGUGGCAACAGUUCACAAACAACACUGCUAGAAUGUGAUAUUUGUGGGUGUAAGAAGGAUAUUACUGAGAAAACUCAGACAAUGCCUGCUGGGCCCAACAUCAGCACACAGCAUACCCAAGAAGCUAUUGGGAUACACCUGCCACAGCACCUUGCUUCGACUCCCAUAACUACCCCACCUCAGCAUUGUGGUGUUUCACACCACUGCAACCACUGUGAUCUAGACUUUCCCAUUAUCAUCAUUACGUUUAUACGCCACCUUUCCUCCCAGGAGCUCAGGGUGGAGCACACAGUUCACUCCCUUCUCCGUUUUAUCCUCACAACAACCUUGUGAGGGAGAUUAGGCUGAGAGAGUGUGACUGCCCCAAGGUCACCUAGUGUCACGAGAACAAUUCUGUUCCUUUAAUACUCAAUCAACUGCUGAAGAUAUUUAGCAUGUAAGUCAUAUGACCUCAAUAAUGAUACUUAUCCUUUUUAUUUCACUUACCCUAAGUGCUCACAUGCAACCUCUACAGCAGCUUUAUAAGGUAGGUUUGGUUCAUUUCGCCAAUACAGUAUAACAGGAGGCGAGAAUGAGGGAGAUAACACUUGUCUAAGUGUCUAGAAAGCAUGAGUCUGACCAGAUUUCC
This 947-nucleotide long non-coding RNA is filed under the name Podarcis muralis (Common wall lizard). Its description in RNAcentral is "lncRNA (ENSPMRG00000011465.1)". Lineage: Eukaryota; Metazoa; Chordata; Lepidosauria; Squamata; Lacertidae. The record is from RNAcentral.